AGUAUGCAAGAAGCUGCACUGCAGUCUAAAUUAGUGAUUUUUAAAACAAUAAACAAAUAUUCAUUUAAAACAAUGUAACCACAAUAGAACAUGAAAACCGUUAUUGAACUGAGAUACUUAAAUUUCUCUUAAAAAAUGAACCAACACUAGUAAGCAUCAACCGGUGUGUAAAAAUGGAUACAUUUAGUACAGAAAUCAUUAGCAAAAGCUAUUCUAGUCUUUCCGGCCAGAACAAGUAUGAAUGUAACAGAAUAGAUUAUAGUAUUACUAAAAGUAAUAGCAGCGAAGCCGAAGUAUUUAACGAUAAAAAUAUGAAUUCUAAAAACACAUCUAACCCCACUAUCGGACAACUAAGUGCACAAGUCAUGAAUCUACCAUACAAUGAUUACGAAAAAGUUAUUACAGACGAAGCAUUUGAAAGCCGUAAUAAGUCUUCCUUAAAAGAAUACGAUAUCUUAAAACGAAUAAAAGAAGCAUAUGACGCUUGUUCUUGCAAGAUUUGCAGGUGUCUUAUGGGGCCAACGACAACACCUCGUGACGAAUAUUGUGAUUGUGAACCUUGCAAAUGUAAAGACUGCACACUGAAUAGCCUAAGGUUCAAUACUAUUAACGUACAGUCACGUUCAGGAAAUGAGUUUCUCAACGUAAAAGAAACAAGUUGUGAUUGCAGGCCUUGUAACUGUAUGGAAUGUGUUCAGAAUUGUAGUUUUAGAAGUAAACCGAUCAAUUAUGACAUACCUAUUGGAAUCAAUAAACAUUUGGGUCGUCCUAAUAUAACCACAAAUAAAGCUUAUUCAAAUACGAAAUGUGCGUGCAGUAAAUGCCAAUGCAUCAUAUGUGAAUCCCAAGGAAAUGCUUUGACUUGUUAUUCAUCGUUGCGGUAUGGAAAUAAACCAUCUCAAAAGUUAACAUGUCCUGAAUUCAGUAAAUGUUCAACAUGGAAAAAUCAACAUACCUCAGAGUCAAUUGAUUAUGCUACUUGUGAUAUGUGUCAUUUUGAACAAUGUGUACGAAACUCUGAACCUCAAAACGAUUUAAACAAAAUGAAUCCGAAUAACAAUCACGGAGGCUCAAACAAACCCUCUAUAGAGCUAAACCCUUUAACACAUGAACGCAAUGAAUACGCACAUGUUAAAUUCAGACGUGGCAAUAUAUUUUACGUGAACAAUGCGAGAACAUACGAUCCGACUAAAAUAAUAUUACGGCCGAAACAACCUAGAAUAAAAGAAAAUAUAAUUGGCUUACCUCUUCCCAAGGAUAUUAACCAAAAUUUAAAGAACAAUAGUCAAAGGAAAUCGACUCAGUUUGAUAAGAAUAAUACUCUGUUAACUGCAGUUUUCAAUACAAAUGCCCUUGAACAAAAAACCACGCUUAGCAAUGUCUCAGCUGAUUUUUAUCCUCAUUUAAAUAUACUUGGAGAUUUAUUACCAAUGAAUAAAGUACACAAGACAAGUCCAUAUUCAUUUUCGUCGGGAUUCAGCUCUACACGAACAACCACCUCAUCGUCGGUAUUAAAAUAUCAAAACAAAGGUUGCAGCACACGCACUAUUUCCUUACCUGAUAUAAAUAUUUUUGACAGUCAUACGGAAAUUGGUUCAAAUUUCAAUACUACUGAAGUUCGAAAAUCUGUCAUAUCUAAUUAUACGACUCAGCAUAACAUUUAUCAUUGCUCUAAUAUUGAAUCUGAGUUUAAUGAUAUUGGUGUCAAGUUAGUACGUAAGCUACAUAAAUAUCCAAAUGAUAUCGGAAACCGAGUUGCUGGUAAUGAGUUAUUUGAUCAUUUAAACCAUUUUUUUACAAAAAGACGGUGUAACGUUGAGCAAACGAAUACAGUCAAUUAUAAUAGUAUACAUAAAACAGUUCUGAAUGCUAAGCAAUUUACUAUUGAUUUGACUAAGAUUUUACAUAAGUACGAAAAAGCUAAUUUGGAAUUUAAAAGCGUUUCUAAAAAACUGAAAAAGUCUCUGUAUAUGGUUUUAAAUGGUUUCAGCAGUAGUAAAUGUGACAGUAUUAUAAAACAAACAGCGGUUAUUGAAGAAAAAAACGGGGCAUCAAACGCGAGUACAGAAAACGAUCCAAACUCAGACUACUCAGAGCAUUUUGAAAUUGUUAACCAAUCUAAGUUUAAAAAUUUAAAAGAAGAGAAUGAAUUAGUUGAAACGACAAAAAACGUUAACAUUGAUACACUUAAGAACCAUAAUAAACAUCUAGAACAACAAGAACAAGUGUUAAAAAUAAUAACAAGAGUAAUAAAUGAAUCACGAGAUAAUAAAGAAAAAGUAUGUGAUGAAAGUAGAAAUAUUGUAAUUAAGAGCGCUCUUGUGGAUAAAUCACAAAUGCACGGCAUUACAGAACAGGAACCUGUGGAUAGUGAGGUAGAAUUACUAAGAGAGAAGAAAAUACGUGAUAUUUUGAAACAAAACAUGAUGCUGGAUCUUUUUACAGAAUAAAAUAUGUCAUCGCCGAUGAACAUUUGCAUGAUUUAACUUGUGCAGAUUUCCGUUAACACUUCGUUACAAAAGUAUA
Long non-coding RNA from Cydia splendana, 2526 nucleotides. RefSeq lists it as uncharacterized. NCBI's taxonomy places the organism in Eukaryota, Metazoa, Arthropoda, Insecta, Lepidoptera, Tortricidae. The record is from RefSeq and is a predicted model, not a curated record. The transcript is spliced from 3 exons.